GGACACGGUAAGGAUUGACGGACUGAAGGCUCUUUCUCGAUUCCGUGGAAAGUGGUGCAUGGCCGUUUUUGGUUGGUGGAUCGAUCCGUCUGGUUAAUUCCGUUAACGAACGAGACCUCGGCAACUCCGAAUAGCGCGGCGGACGUCGCGGCCUCCGGGCCGUCUUCCGCACGAGCUUCUUAGAGGGACCGUCCCCCCGCCGGGGAAGGAGGUGCGAGGCAACGACAGGUCUGUGAUGCCCUUAGAUGUUCUGGGCCGCACGCGCAUUACACUGACGCGUCCAACGGGUGACUCCCGACCCGAAGGGGCCGGGGAAUCCGCAAGGCGCGUCGUGAUGGGGAUUGAACGUUGCAAUUGUUGUUCACGAACGAGGAAUUCCUAGUAGGCGCGGGUCAUCAACCCGCGCCGAUUACGUCCCUGCCCUUUGUACACACCGC
Molecule: ribosomal RNA, 437 nt
Filed under: uncultured eukaryote
Lineage: Eukaryota
Description: bacterial SSU rRNA
Rfam family: Eukaryotic small subunit ribosomal RNA
Source: RNAcentral